RNAcentral lists this long non-coding RNA (1235 nucleotides) under Phocoena sinus (vaquita). RNAcentral's name for it is "lncRNA (ENSPSNG00000017344.1)". Lineage: Eukaryota; Metazoa; Chordata; Mammalia; Artiodactyla; Phocoenidae. The record is from RNAcentral.
GAAAUAGUAUGCUAACGAGUAUAAAAUCAGUUGAGGCAUUUAAUUAAUAAAAUCUUGGUUCUUUUAUAAAAACUAUAUAUCAUUAUCCUCAUUCUAUAAAGCCACUAUUACCACUACUCUCAAAUUGCACUUUCUGGUAAAAAGUUAACAUUUUUAAGGAAAAAAAAGAAUACAGAUUUCAGUGGUUAAAGUGUUUUUGUUAUUGUGAUCAUACACCAAUUUUUUCCAAUGUAUCUUGCAGGAAAAGCUUUGAAAAAGACUUUAACCACAACCAUAAGGAAUAACCUUCUUCUCCCUCCCCUCACUACAAAAAUGUUUGGCAACAUUUGUGUUUACAUUUAAAGAUCAUUUGCACCUUUAUAAGGAAAAAAAAUAAGUAUUUGGUAAACAAUUGUUUACAUGCAUCAUUUAUGCUUUUUUCUAGCAUGUAUAACUUUUUAAAAUAAAGGUAGUACUUACCAUAAAAAAAUUUUGGUUAAUGCUUGUAUCUCUGCUACUUAAUUUAGAUUUUCUGUUUCUGUAUCAUUUACACUUCCUAUUAUAAAGUUAAAAGUACUUACAACCUGAAGGAAUAAAGGGAUUACCAGCUAGAAUUAUGAAUUUUUAUUAUAUAUUUUAUAUAAUAGUAGUAUAUUACCUAACCUCCAAACUUAUUUUCUGGUGUGGAACUUGGAAUCAAACGAUUUUGAGCUAGAAGGACUUUUAACAAUCAUCUGGUCCAGGGACUUCCCUGGUGGCACAGUGGUUAAGAAUCCACCUGCCAACACAAGGGACACGGGUUCGAGCCCUGGUCUGGGAAGAUCCCGCAUGCCGCGGAGCAACUAAGCCUGUGCGCCACAACUAUUGAGCCUGCGCUCCAGAGCCUGUGAGCCAGAACUACUGAGCCCAUGUGCCUCAACUACUGAAGCCUGCACGCCUAGAGCCCGUGCUCCACAACAAGAGAAGCCACUGCAAUGAGAAGCCUGCACGCCGCAACUAGAGAAAGCCCACAUGCAGCAACGAAGACCCAACACAGACAAAAAUAAAUUAAUUAAAAAAUCAUCGGGCUUCCCUGGUGGCGCAGUGGUUGGGAGUCCGCCUGCCGAUGCAGAGGACGUGGGUUCGUGCCCCGGUCUGGGAAGAUCCCACAUGCCACGGAGCGGCUGGGCCCGUGAGCCAUGGCCGCUGGGCCUGCGCGUCGGGAGCCUGUGCUCCGCAACGGGAGAGGCCACGGCAGUGAGAGGCCCGCGUAACAC